GACGAACGCUGGCGGCGUGCCUAAUACAUGCAAGUCGAGCGGAACUGGGGGAGCUUGCUCCUUCCAGUUUAGCGGCGGACGGGUGAGUAACACGUGGGCAACCUGCCCUGCAGAUCGGGAUAACUCCGGGAAACCGGUGCUAAUACCGAAUAGUUUGGCGCCUCUCCUGCGGCGCUACGGAAAGACGGUUUCGGCUGUCACUGCAGGAUGGGCCCGCGGCGCAGUAGCUAGUUGGUGGGGUAACGGCCCACCAAGGCGACGAUGCGUAGCCGACCUGAGAGGGUGACCGGCCACACUGGGACUGAGACACGGCCCAGACUCCUACGGGAGGCAGCAGUAGGGAAUCUUCCGCAAUGGACGCAAGUCUGACGGAGCAACGCCGCGUGAGUGACGAAGGUUUUCGGAUCGUAAAACUCUGUUGUGAGGGAAGAACACGUACCAACUAACUAUUGGUACCUUGACGGUACCUCACCAGAAAGCCACGGCUAACUACGUGCCAGCCGCCGCGGUAA
RNAcentral lists this ribosomal RNA (512 nucleotides) under uncultured bacterium. Its description in RNAcentral is "partial 16S ribosomal RNA". It matches the Rfam family "Bacterial small subunit ribosomal RNA", at positions 28 to 523 of the family's 1533-position model. The record is from RNAcentral.